AUUGAACGCUGGCGGCAGGCCUAACACAUGCAAGUCGAGCGGAUGAAGGGAGCUUGCUCCUGGAUUCAGCGGCGGACGGGUGAGUAAUGCCUAGGAAUCUGCCUGGUAGUGGGGGAUAACGUCCGGAAACGGGCGCUAAUACCGCAUACGUCCUGAGGGAGAAAGUGGGGGAUCUUCGGACCUCACGCUAUCAGAUGAGCCUAGGUCGGAUUAGCUAGUUGGUGGGGUAAAGGCCUACCAAGGCGACGAUCCGUAACUGGUCUGAGAGGAUGAUCAGUCACACUGGAACUGAGACACGGUCCAGACUCCUACGGGAGGCAGCAGUGGGGAAUAUUGGACAAUGGGCGAAAGCCUGAUCCAGCCAUGCCGCGUGUGUGAAGAAGGUCUUCGGAUUGUAAAGCACUUUAACUUGGGAGGAAGGGCAGUAAGUUAAUACCUUGAUGUUUUGACGUUACCAACAGAAUAAGCACCGGCUAACUUCGUG
This 484-nucleotide ribosomal RNA is filed under the name uncultured bacterium. RNAcentral describes it as "partial 16S ribosomal RNA". It matches the Rfam family "Bacterial small subunit ribosomal RNA", at positions 30 to 507 of the family's 1533-position model. The record is from RNAcentral.